Molecule: transfer RNA, 70 nt
Filed under: Isodiametra pulchra
Lineage: Eukaryota; Metazoa; Xenacoelomorpha; Acoela; Isodiametridae
Description: tRNA-Ile
Source: RNAcentral
UCUUAUUUUAAGUUUUAAAAAAAAUUACUUUGAUAUAGUAAAAAUAGGAAAGAAAGUUUCUUAGAACGAA